RNAcentral lists this ribosomal RNA (484 nucleotides) under uncultured bacterium. RNAcentral's name for it is "partial 16S ribosomal RNA". It matches the Rfam family "Bacterial small subunit ribosomal RNA", at positions 30 to 507 of the family's 1533-position model. The record is from RNAcentral.
AUUGAACGCUGGCGGCAGGCCUAACACAUGCAAGUCGAGCGGAUGAAGGGAGCUUGCUCCUGGAUUCAGCGGCGGACGGGUGAGUAAUGCCUAGGAAUCUGCCUGGUAGUGGGGGAUAACGUCCGGAAACGGGCGCUAAUACCGCAUACGUCCUGAGGGAGAAAGUGGGGGAUCUUCGGACCUCACGCUAUCAGAUGAGCCUAGGUCGGAUUAGCUAGUUGGUGGGGUAAGGGCCUACCAAGGCGACGAUCCGUAACUGGUCUGAGAGGAUGAUCAGUCACAUUGGAACUGAGACACGGUCCAGACUCCUACGGGAGGCAGCAGUGGGCAAUAUUGGACAAUGGGCGAAAGCCUGAUCCAGCCAUGCCGAGUGUGUGACGAAGGUCUUCGGAUUGUAAAGCACUUUAAGUUGGGAGGAAGGGCAGUAAGUUAAUACCUUGCUGGUUUGACGUUACCAACAGAAUAAGCACCGGCUAACUUCGUG